CAAGGCACUGAAAAUGCCUAGAUGAGUAUACCGACUCCAUAAACA
Molecule: transfer RNA, 45 nt
Filed under: Bootherium bombifrons
Lineage: Eukaryota; Metazoa; Chordata; Mammalia; Artiodactyla; Bovidae
Description: partial tRNA-Phe
Source: RNAcentral